Long non-coding RNA from Gordionus sp. m RMFG-2023, 258 nucleotides. RefSeq lists it as uncharacterized. The transcript has 3 exons. The record is from RefSeq and is a predicted model, not a curated record. NCBI's taxonomy places the organism in Eukaryota, Metazoa, Nematomorpha, Gordioida, Chordodea, Parachordodidae.
GGUUCAUGGCAAGGUCUAAUGUGGGCUAGGGUUAAUCUAAACAUUAAAUCUACUCAAAUCGAUAAAAUCUAAGAGACUUAGGGCUGCUUAGGCGAAUCAACCAAGAAGUAUCUUUUAGUUUUUACCGAACUACUCUGUUCAAGGUAAUUCCUGAUACCACGUGAAGAGUUAGCGGUUAGCUUGGGACUAUGCAACAAAGAUAAUGGGGUAUGUGUCUUUUUGUAUAUCUUGAAGAUAUCAUGUACACGAAUGAACAGA